RNAcentral lists this ribosomal RNA (316 nucleotides) under Salmonella enterica. RNAcentral describes it as "partial 23S ribosomal RNA". It matches the Rfam family "Bacterial large subunit ribosomal RNA", at positions 2632 to 2925 of the family's 2925-position model. The record is from RNAcentral. Lineage: Bacteria; Pseudomonadati; Pseudomonadota; Gammaproteobacteria; Enterobacterales; Enterobacteriaceae.
CGGUCCCUAUCUGCCGUGGGCGCUGGAGAAUUGAGGGGGGCUGCUCCUAGUACGAGAGGACCGGAGUGGACGCAUCACUGGUGUUCGGGUUGUCAUGCCAAUGGCACUGCCCGGUAGCUAAAUGCGGAAGAGAUAAGUGCUGAAAGCAUCUAAGCACGAAACUUGCCCCGAGAUGAGUUCUCCCUGACCCUUAAAGGGUCCUGAAGGAACGUUAAAGACGAUGACGUUGAUAGGCCGGGUGUGUAAGCGCAGCGAUGCGUUGAGCUAACCGGUACUAAUGAACCGUGAGGCUUAACCUUACAACGCCGAAGCUGUU